RNAcentral lists this ribosomal RNA (369 nucleotides) under uncultured organism. RNAcentral's name for it is "bacterial SSU rRNA". It matches the Rfam family "Bacterial small subunit ribosomal RNA", at positions 526 to 896 of the family's 1533-position model. The record is from RNAcentral.
CGUAGGAUCCUAGCGUUGUCCGGAUUUACUGGGUGUAAAGGGUGCGCAGGCGGGCUUAUAAGUCAGUGGUGAAAUCUCGGCGCUCAACGCCGAAACUGCCUUUGAUACUAUAAGUCUUGAGUUUGGUAGAGAUCCGUGGAAUUCCGAGUGUAGCAGUGAAAUGUGUAGAUAUUCGGAAGAACACCAGCGGCGAAGGCAGCGGAUUGGGCCAAUACUGACGCUCAGGCACGAAAGCAUGGGGAUCAAACAGGAUUAGAUACCCUGGUAGUCCAUGCCCUAAACGAUGUACACUUGAUGUCGGUCUUUAACGGGUCGAUGUCGGAGCUAACGUGUUAAGUGUACCACCUGGGGAGUACGCUCGCAAGGGUG